UGGGGAAUAUUGCACAAUGGGCGCAAGCCUGAUGCAGCCAUGCCGCGUGUGUGAAGAAGGCCUUCGGGUUGUAAAGUACUUUCAGCGGGGAGGAAGGGAGUAAAGUUAAUACCUUUGCUCAUUGACGUUACCCGCAGAAGAAGCACCGGCUAACUCCGUGCCAGCAGCCGCGGUAAUACGGAGGGUGCAAGCGUUAAUCGGAAUUACUGGGCGUAAAGCGCACGCAGGCGGUUUGUUAAGUCAGAUGUGAAAUCCCCGGGCUCAACCUGGGAACUGCAUCUGAUACUGGAAAGCUUGAGGAUCGUAGAGUGGGGUAGAAUUCCAGGUGUAGCGGUGAAAUGCGUAGAGAUCUGGAGGAAUACCGGUGGCGAAGGCGGCCCCCUGGACGAAGACUGACGCUCAGGUGCGAAAGCGUGGGGAGCAAACAGG
Molecule: ribosomal RNA, 429 nt
Filed under: Chloroflexota bacterium
Lineage: Bacteria; Bacillati; Chloroflexota
Description: Chloroflexi bacterium partial 16S ribosomal RNA
Rfam family: Bacterial small subunit ribosomal RNA
Source: RNAcentral